AACACUGCCUACAUACGUUUUCGAGUUCACAUGGAGUAGUUCUGCAAGAGCCAUCUGAUCCGAUGUUAUUCAAGGGCAGCUCAGACACGUAAGGAGUCUCAUCAUCUUUCAGCAGUAUGCAGUGGAGACAUGCAUGGUUAGAGACGAGGAAUGCAGUCAUUAACACGAGAGAUGGUGUGAACAGAAGUGAGAGAUGGGUCAAACAUGAUAGCAAGAUGUCCAGUGCAGAGAGAGGGCUUCACAUUAACUCCAACAAUAAUGCGCUGUUUGUUUGCGAAAUCAUGCAUAACAUACAAGCAGAUUGGAGAGAAUUUAUUGCAUGGCAAAAUCAUGGUUUAAAUGUUUUGUGUUAUUCCUAAUUAAAUCAACUCACUGCAUUGCUACUCUUUUAUGGAAAGAGUACAAAGAAGUUGUGGGAGCAACAUUUCUAACACCCUCCAGCAUGUAAUUUUCACUAAAUGCUGUCUGCUGUGUGGAAUGUCAAAACUCGUAUAGACCUACAUGAUUACAUAAUUGUCAUUUUUGGGUAAACUAUUCCUUUAAGAAACGCAUAUCAGCAUCUCUCCAGCACACCCUCUGUGGGUUCUCAUGCGUAAAGACCAUGAAUGAGUUGCUUUCUAAGAAUUGUUUUAGUUAUCAUAUGUUGGAAGAUUUAAUGCAU
Long non-coding RNA from Carassius auratus (goldfish), 661 nucleotides. RefSeq lists it as uncharacterized. The transcript is spliced from 3 exons. NCBI's taxonomy places the organism in Eukaryota, Metazoa, Chordata, Actinopteri, Cypriniformes, Cyprinidae. The record is from RefSeq and is a predicted model, not a curated record.